Molecule: ribosomal RNA, 473 nt
Filed under: uncultured bacterium
Lineage: Bacteria
Description: SSU rRNA
Rfam family: Bacterial small subunit ribosomal RNA
Source: RNAcentral
AGGACGAACGCUGGCGGCGUGCUUAACACAUGCAAGUCGAGCGGAAAGGCCCUUCGGGGUACUCGAGCGGCGAACGGGUGAGUAACACGUGAGUAAUCUGCCCCUAGCUCUGGGAUAGCUCCGGGAAACCGGGAUUAAUACCGGAUACGACCACUUUAGACAUCUGUUGUGGUGGAAAGAAUUUUGGCUAGGGAUGAGCUCGCGGCCUAUCAGCUUGUUGGUGGGGUAACGGCCUACCAAGGCGACGACGGGUAGCCGGCCUGAGAGGGCGACCGGCCACACUGGGACUGAGACACGGCCCAGACUCCUACGGGAGGCAGCAGUGGGGAAUAUUGCGCAAUGGGCGAAAGCCUGACGCAGCGACGCCGCGUGGGGGAUGAAGGCCUUCGGGUUGUAAACCCUUUCAGCAGGGACGAAGCGAAAGUGACGGUACCUGCAGAAGAAGCGCCGGCUAACUACGUGCCAGCAGCCGC